UACGUAGGGACCGAGCGUUGUCCGGAUUCAUUGGGCGUAAAGAGCUCGUAGGCGGCUAUUCAAGUCGAACGUGAAAUCUCGGAGCUCAACUCCGAAACUGCGUUCGAUACUGGGUAGCUAGAGUCUGGUAGGGGGAUCUGGAAUUCCUGGUGUAGCGGUGGAAUGCGCAGAUAUCAGGAGGAACACCGGUGGCGAAGGCGGCGUCCUGGACCAACACUGACACUGAUGAGCGAAAGCCAGGGGAGCAAACGGG
Molecule: ribosomal RNA, 253 nt
Filed under: uncultured bacterium
Lineage: Bacteria
Description: partial 16S ribosomal RNA
Rfam family: Bacterial small subunit ribosomal RNA
Source: RNAcentral